Molecule: ribosomal RNA, 358 nt
Filed under: uncultured bacterium
Lineage: Bacteria
Description: partial 16S ribosomal RNA
Rfam family: Bacterial small subunit ribosomal RNA
Source: RNAcentral
CCUACGGGAGGCAGCAGUGAGGAAUAUUGGUCAAUGGGCGGAAGCCUGAACCAGCCAAGUAGCGUGCGGGAUGAAGGCCCUACGGGUCGUAAACCGCUUUUGCACGGGGAUAACACCCUCCACUUGUGGAGGUCUGCAGGUACCGUGCGAAUAAGGGCCGGCUAAUUCCGUGCCAGCAGCCGCGGUACUACGGGAGGCCCGAGCGUUACCCGGAUUCAUUGGGCUUAAGGGGAGCGGGGGCGGGCGUUCAAGUCAGCUGUAAAAUCGCGCGGCUCAACCGGGCACCGAAGUUGAAACUGGACGCCUUGAGGUCACAACAGGCAGGCGGAAUUCGUGGUGUAGCGGUGAAAUGCAUAGA